RNAcentral lists this ribosomal RNA (909 nucleotides) under Microbacterium sp. RNAcentral describes it as "bacterial SSU rRNA". It matches the Rfam family "Bacterial small subunit ribosomal RNA", at positions 60 to 978 of the family's 1533-position model. The record is from RNAcentral. Lineage: Bacteria; Bacillati; Actinomycetota; Actinomycetes; Micrococcales; Microbacteriaceae.
AGUCGAACGGUGAACACGGAGCUUGCUCUGUGGGAUCAGUGGCGAACGGGUGAGUAACACGUGAGCAACCUGCCCCUGACUCUGGGAUAAGCGCUGGAAACGGCGUCUAAUACUGGAUAUGUGACGUGACCGCAUGGUCUGCGUCUGGAAAGAAUUUCGGUUGGGGAUGGGCUCGCGGCCUAUCAGCUUGUUGGUGAGGUAAUGGCUCACCAAGGCGUCGACGGGUAGCCGGCCUGAGAGGGUGACCGGCCACACUGGGACUGAGACACGGCCCAGACUCCUACGGGAGGCAGCAGUGGGGAAUAUUGCACAAUGGGCGCAAGCCUGAUGCAGCAACGCCGCGUGAGGGACGACGGCCUUCGGGUUGUAAACCUCUUUUAGCAGGGAAGAAGCGAAAGUGACGGUACCUGCAGAAAAAGCGCCGGCUAACUACGUGCCAGCAGCCGCGGUAAUACGUAGGGCGCAAGCGUUAUCCGGAAUUAUUGGGCGUAAAGAGCUCGUAGGCGGUUUGUCGCGUCUGCUGUGAAAUCCGGAGGCUCAACCUCCGGCCUGCAGUGGGUACGGGCAGACUAGAGUGCGGUAGGGGAGAUUGGAAUUCCUGGUGUAGCGGUGGAAUGCGCAGAUAUCAGGAGGAACACCGAUGGCGAAGGCAGAUCUCUGGGCCGUAACUGACGCUGAGGAGCGAAAGGGUGGGGAGCAAACAGGCUUAGAUACCCUGGUAGUCCACCCCGUAAACGUUGGGAACUAGUUGUGGGGUCCAUUCCACGGAUUCCGUGACGCAGCUAACGCAUUAAGUUCCCCGCCUGGGGAGUACGGCCGCAAGGCUAAAACUCAAAGGAAUUGACGGGGACCCGCACAAGCGGCGGAGCAUGCGGAUUAAUUCGAUGCAACGCGAAGAACCUUACCAAG